RNAcentral lists this non-coding RNA (83 nucleotides) under Thermoactinomyces sp. RNAcentral's name for it is "partial 16S ribosomal RNA". It matches the Rfam family "Bacterial small subunit ribosomal RNA", at positions 1451 to 1533 of the family's 1533-position model. The record is from RNAcentral. RNAcentral also lists the same sequence under 1 other name. Lineage: Bacteria; Bacillati; Bacillota; Bacilli; Caryophanales; Thermoactinomycetaceae.
AGCCGCCGAAGGUGGGGCAGAUGAUUGGGGUGAAGUCGUAACAAGGUAUCCCUACCGGAAGGUGGGGAUGGAUCACCUCCUUU